RNAcentral lists this long non-coding RNA (241 nucleotides) under Homo sapiens (human). Its description in RNAcentral is "HSALNT0057680". Lineage: Eukaryota; Metazoa; Chordata; Mammalia; Primates; Hominidae. The record is from RNAcentral.
GAGGCUUCGAUGACAGCUCGGACCGGGUCUUCGACUCCAGGGGCGGGGGCGACCCGGGAGCCUUCCAUUGUGCGCGCCCCUUCCUCUCCCCGCCCCCGCCCUCGCCCCCGCGGCUUCGGGCCGCAACCCCAGCUGCCGCCUGCGCCUCCCGUUUCCCCCGGGUAGGAGACAAUAUGUUCAGCCCUUCUCUGACCCUUUCUCACCGGAUGAAGAUGGCCGUCGCCCGAGCUUUCUCUUGUCC